GAUGAACGCUAGCGAUAGGCUUAACACAUGCAAGUCGAGGGGCAGCACAAGGUAGCUUGCUAUCUGGGUGGCGACCGGCGCACGGGUGCGUAACGCGUAUGCAACUUGCCCUAUACAGGAGGAUAACCCGUCGAAAGACGUACUAAUACUGCGUAUGCUCACAACUUGGCAUCAAGUGGUGAGGAAAGAAAUUCGGUAUAGGAUAGGCAUGCGUCCCAUUAGCUUGUUGGUGAGGUAACGGCUCACCAAGGCAACGAUGGGUAGGGGAACUGAGAGGUUUAACCCCCACACUGGUACUGAGACACGGACCAGACUCCUACGGGAGGCAGCAGUGAGGAAGAUUGGUCAAUGGGCGCGAGCCUGAACCAGCCAAGUCGCGUGAAGGAUGACUGUAUUAUGGAUUGUAAACUUCUGUUAUACGGGAAUAACAAGAGUCACGUGUGACUCCCUGCAUGUACCGUAUGAAUAAGCAUCGGAUAACUCCGUG
Molecule: ribosomal RNA, 487 nt
Filed under: uncultured bacterium
Lineage: Bacteria
Description: partial 16S ribosomal RNA
Rfam family: Bacterial small subunit ribosomal RNA
Source: RNAcentral